This 449-nucleotide ribosomal RNA is filed under the name uncultured bacterium. RNAcentral describes it as "partial 16S ribosomal RNA". It matches the Rfam family "Bacterial small subunit ribosomal RNA", at positions 328 to 793 of the family's 1533-position model. The record is from RNAcentral.
UGUCCAGACUCCUACGGGAGGCAGCAGUGGGGAAUAUUGCACAAUGGGGGGAACCCUGAUGCAGCGACGCCGCGUGGGUGAAGGAGCACCUCGGUGCGUAAAGCCCUAUCGGCAGGGAAGAAGGAGGACGGUACCUGACUAAGAAGCCCCGGCUAACUACGUGCCAGCAGCCGCGGUAAUACGUAGGGGGCAAGCGUUAUCCGGAUUUACUGGGUGUAAAGGGGGCGCAGACGGCAGCGCAAGCCAGGAGUGAAAGCCCGGGGCCCAACCCCGGGACUGCUCUUGGAACUGCGCGGCUGGAGUGCCGGAGAGGUAGGCGGAAUUCCUAGUGUAGCGGUGAAAUGCGUAGAUAUUAGGAGGAACACCAGUGGCGAAGGCGGCCUACUGGACGGUGACUGACGCUGAGGCUCGAAAGCGUGGGGAGCAAACAGGAUUAGAUACCCUUGUAA